This 403-nucleotide ribosomal RNA is filed under the name uncultured bacterium. RNAcentral describes it as "bacterial SSU rRNA". It matches the Rfam family "Bacterial small subunit ribosomal RNA", at positions 355 to 775 of the family's 1533-position model. The record is from RNAcentral.
UGGGGAAUCUUGCACAACGGGGGAAACCCUGAUGCAGCGACGCCGCGUGAACGAUGAAGCCCUUCGGGGUGUAAAGUUCUUUCGGCAGGGACGAUAAUGACGGUACCUGCAGAAGCAGCUGCGGCUAACUACGUGCCAGCAGCCGCGGUAAUACGUAGGCAGCAAGCGUUGUUCGGAAUUACUGGGCGUAAAGAGUGCGUAGGCGGUUGGCUAAGUUUGGUGUGAAAUCUCCCGGCUCAACUGGGAGGGUGCGCCGAAAACUGGCUGGCUAGAGUGCGGGAGAGGAUAGUGGAAUUCCUGGUGUAGCGGUGAAAUGCGUAGAUAUCAGGAGGAACACCUGAGGUGUAGACGGCUAUCUGGACCGUAACUGACGCUGAGGCACGAAAGCGUGGGGAGCAAACAG